RNAcentral lists this ribosomal RNA (735 nucleotides) under Triticum aestivum (bread wheat). Its description in RNAcentral is "partial small subunit ribosomal RNA". Lineage: Eukaryota; Viridiplantae; Streptophyta; Magnoliopsida; Poales; Poaceae. The record is from RNAcentral.
AUGGCGGCAUCCAAGGGAUCUGACGUGCCUGCUGUCGCUGAGCUGCAGGGAGAAGCGGCCCGGCGAGACGCGGUUGGGGGGAUCCAGGGUGGGCCGGAAGGGGACGAUGGGGUGGCUGUCGAACAAACCGAGGAGGGGCGGGUUGCGGCGGUGGUGGACGCGGAAGCGGCGGCAGAAGCCGGGGCCGGAGGCGAGGCCGCGCCAGCGCUUGCAGACGAGGGAGGCGCGCGGGAGGGAGGACGGCUGCGGCGGGAGGCGGAGGAGGAUCUCGGAGAGGAGGUCGUCGUCGUCCAGCGGCGACCGGCGGUGGCGGCGCACCUCGGCGCCCGCCAAGAUGGAUGCUAUGGAGGGCGGACCCCGGCCCUUCUGUGGCGCUCGUUGGACAAGUACGGUUGGCGGCGGCAAGCGGUGGCGGGGGGAGCAAGGUGCGGCCGCCUGGUUGCCUCCUGCCGUAUCAGCAGAGGAGAAGCAUCUGGGAGAAAUUGCGGCGUCGGCUCUGGUGGAAGGCAGGUACGGCAAGCACCUGGCGUCGCUUCAAGAGUGGAUGAAAAAAGGUGUUCCCCCAUGUGCGUGCACUCUAGCUGCUGGCCGUCGACGAGGAUCAUCACCCACCGAAGACGUAUGUCUCUAUCCUCUCCUCUGUUCAUAGAAAGUGGAGCACACCGGCAUGAUGAGAAAUUGCAGUUGGAAGUGAAAUUUGAUCUUUUGAAUCUCAAGUUUCUGUCAACUCUAUAA